Equus caballus (horse) is the source of this 820-nucleotide long non-coding RNA. The record is from Ensembl. Lineage: Eukaryota; Metazoa; Chordata; Mammalia; Perissodactyla; Equidae.
CCCACCCUUGGAGACAGAAACAGCCCCUGUGAUCAAAUGGGGGCUACCUGGGAGGCCAUUGAGCCCACAGGAGCCUGACCCAGCCUGGGGGGUGGGGUGCAGGAGAAGCUUUCAGGAGGUGACAGUGCACACAGGCCUGAGACUUGAAGAGUGGCGACUACAUACAAGGAGGAAGGGUGUUCAAGGCAGAAGGAACAGCAGUGAAAAGGCCCGAGGCAUCGAGGCUUGUCCAGUGGUUCAGGGUGCCUGAGAAGAGAGUGCAAGUGGCCCCGAGGAGGCCAGGCAGGGACCAGGUCGAGAAAGGGCGGGAGAAUCAGGCCAAGCGGCUUGGAUUUCAUGCCGGGGCUGGGAGAGGCGCUGCGGCCCAGUGGUUAGCGCCUGGGCGCUGAGUCCCGCCUCCCGGGUGGGAGUCCCGCGGCUGUUUCUCACAGCUUGACCGCUCCAGGCCUGCGUGCACGUCUGUAAAAUCGACGAAAUGCCGCUCAGCGCGGUGUGGGCAUCUUCCCACGCGGCUUCUCGGGCUUCCUCACGCGCCGGGGGCUCAUCCCAGCCCGGGCUGCCAGGCGGAGAAGGCAGCCGCUUCCAGUGCUCUCGAGGGCCUGACUCCGAAGGCCCACACAUUUCUUCUGCAUGGCGUGCCAAGUGGUGCCAUGUCCGCAUCCAGGAUCCGAACCUGCGAACCGGGGCCGAGAGAGAAGCUCAACGUGGGAACCUAACCACUGCGCCACCUGCGGGCUACCCACCAACGUUGUUUAUACUUGAGCACCUACCUGCCUUUGAAUAUGUUUUAAAAUAAAAUAGAUUAGACAAAUCAGAAAAA